UCCCAUGGAGAGCAGAGCCUGGUGGGCUACAUUCCACAGGUCAUAGAAGAGUCGGACAUUGCUUAGCAAUUAAACAACAACAAGGUGCUCAGUAAAUGUUCGUUUGGGAGCCUUUUCUCUUCCAGAUUAAGUACCCCUAGGUCCUGCGGUUUUGCCUGUGAAGCAGGAGGCUGAACGUUGCUUGACCCCCCACCAGCGCUCUGAGCUCUGAGUCUCUGGGGAACAGCAAGAAGGCCAGAGGAGGUGCUGACCCCCACACACCAGGGCCUGUGACAAACAGUGCUGCUCUGGGCACUUGGAACUCGGCCCAGGUCACUCAGAAGAGGAUUUGAAAUCUUAGAUCAGCUCAUUUCUAAGCCUUCGUUGUCACUUGACAACCAGAUCUCCUCUCUGCAGCUGAACAUUUGCUCAUGCGUCAUGGGAAGAACUCAGGGGAGAGCGGCUGCGAACAACACCAUCUGAACAGAGGGGAAAGAUGAAAAGAAAGCUGGAGGCUGCCGAUCCCGCCGUGGGAGCGUCUCAUUUCUGCUCUGACGCUCACGUGCAGAACGCAGGCCGCAGCGGAGGAACUGGCUUCACUCGGGAGCUGGGGGUUGCGGCCAGGGCAGCCCCUGGGGUCCUGUGGGGAUGAGGACCGGGGAGUAAGAAGACCAGGCAGACAGAAUUCCUGCUCUGGCCCUGGCUUAUCUGGCCCGAUGGCCUCAAAGAGCCCCUCAAAGGGACCAAGAGACGGAGAGUGGACGAGACUGAUGAGCCCUGGGCCACCCAAGACCAUCCAGGCUGCAGCCGUAAUGUGGACACACCCCGGGGUUGUGUGGAGGCAGCAACCACAACCCCUGUGUCCCGAGUGGGAGGGGCCUGGCAGGUGCUCCAGAGAUUCAGCUUGGCGGGGAGGGCCGGGUACUGCUCCAGAGACAGACUGGGCCCGAUGGAAAGCUGGCCCGAAGCUCGUCCUGACUCACUGUUGUGUGCGGCCUGUGUCCUGAAACCUCCGGGGUCUGGCCUCCCUCUGCCCAAUGCUCCUUUGCAGUAGGAAGGUCUGUGAGGGACGGGACAGAGCGUCCUAUCCGGUGAUGUCAUUCAUGGACACUCAGCAUACAUUGAGCACCGACUGUGUGCGCUGCUCUGGGCCAGCCAGGCUUGCUGGCCAGCCUUGGAGGCUGCCAAGUGUCUGUAUGCAGCUCUCGAUUUUCAUUUAAAAUCCACUGAUUUUUACCUCUGGCACGUUUUCUUUAGAAAUGACUCAGAGUUCAGUCACUCGGAGAGAGACACCAAGGAAAAAUUAAAUUAGAAGACAGUUCUAAUGGCAAAUCCAAACAGAUAUGACGCAGCUGGCUCUCGGGAGAUCAGCCUCCCCACGCGGGGCUGGAGCUGGGGAGGGAGUCAGAGGACCCGCUACACAAGUCCUCUGUCUGAGGUCUGUGGGCUGAGCCACUGCCGGGAACAACUUAGCCCAUCCCCGCCCCCCCCCCCCCGACA
Long non-coding RNA from Capra hircus (goat), 1479 nucleotides. RefSeq lists it as uncharacterized. The transcript has 3 exons. The record is from RefSeq and is a predicted model, not a curated record. Lineage: Eukaryota; Metazoa; Chordata; Mammalia; Artiodactyla; Bovidae.